Molecule: ribosomal RNA, 408 nt
Filed under: uncultured bacterium
Lineage: Bacteria
Description: bacterial SSU rRNA
Rfam family: Bacterial small subunit ribosomal RNA
Source: RNAcentral
UGGGGAAUCUUGCACAAUGGGCGAAAGCCUGAUGCAGCGACGCCGCGUGAGGGAUGAAGGCCCUAGGGUUGUAAACCUCUUUCAGCAGGGACGAAGCGAAAGUGACGGUACCUGCAGAAGAAGCCCCGGCUAACUACGUGCCAGCAGCCGCGGUAAUACGUAGGGGGCGAGCGUUGUCCGGAUUUAUUGGGCGUAAAGAGCGCGUAGGUGGUUUGUAAAGUCGGAUGUGAAAGUCCAGGGCUCAACCCUGGGAUGCCAUUCGAUACUUGCAAACUAGAGCACGGUAGGGGGAUCUGGAAUUCCUGGUGUAGCGGUGAAAUGCGCAGAUAUCAGGAGGAACACCGGUGGCGAAGGCGGGAUCCUGGGCCGUUGCUGACACUGAGGCGCGAAAGCUGGGGGAGCGAACAG